UGAUGGAUUGGAUUCCUGUCUCUAAGCUUCUUGUCUGGUGUCCCCUGGAUCAACACCAUGAUUUGCAAGAUGAUUGGAUAAACUCACUGGUGAAGCAAUGUGGGUGAAUAUCAGUCACAUUCAUAUUCAGUAUUAUUUUCAGAACCAAUUGACUCAGAAAAUAUAUAGUAAUUCAUUGAAAGUCCAGUGCAUAGAUCAGAAAAUCUUACAACUGAAAGAAACCCUCCAUAUGAUCAUCCAGAUUUUAUUUCCACAGCCUAAAUACUGGAAAACUCACCACUCAGAAAGGCAGGUCAUUCCGGUUUUUAUCAUUUCCCCUUUUAUGAAGGUCUGCCUGUACUUGAGCACAUACCUACCUUUUGAAGCUCAUUAAUGAAUUCAUUCCUUCAUUUCUUCAUCAUUUAAUACAUACUUAUUGAGUGCCUAAUCUGUGGCAAAGUGCUGAGGAGAAAAUGAUAAAUAAGGCAUAUUCCCUGCUGUCAUGGAUCUUGCAGUCAGUGGGAGGAACCUAUUCCACCAACACCAUAUUACACCUGUUUUUUUCAGACAUUUGAGACAACCUUUAUUCCCUGUAUUUUAGCACAUUUCUUUCUUAGGCUACACACCCCAAGUUCCUUCAUUUCACAUGAAGAGUUUCCAGAUUCUUCCCUGCAUUUUUCACUUUCACUGAGGUUUGUCCAUGCUCCUCUUCAAAUAUGUGCCCAGUACUAAAUCCAAUGGUCUCAAUGAGGUCUGUCCAGAGCACACUGAUUCAGCCAGUCGGCCAUUUAGAACACUUGUUUAGCACCUAUCAUGUGUCAGGCAAAUGUGAAUAUGACCAUAAUUCCUGUCUUCAAGACUUUCAUAUUCUAAAGGAAGUUCCAGAAUGAGUGAACAAAACAACUGCUUCUCUAAUUGUGGACAACACAGUCCCAUUAAUUCAGCCUGUACUCUGCAGAUAAGGAAAUGAGGCUUCAUAGGCUUAUGACUUGACUCUUCUUGUGUUAGAUUGAUGAGUUGUGGUCCCAGGCUCAGGCCCAAAUACAGCAAAAUUCAAUGAACUAAACCAAUAAUCUGCAACUGAAGACCUGAGAAAUAAGCAAGCUACAAAGUAAUCAGUUUCUUUAUAUGUAAAAUGGAAUGACAUAUACCUCUUCAGGGUUGUGGUAAGUUACAACAGACUGCUGGAUUUCUAAUCAAGAUUAACUUGAAAAUAGAAGAGUAUAUACAAAUAUUUCUGAUAGAGCCAAGUAGCCUUACAAGUUGCCACCAUUAUGAAUUAGUAACAUUUUUUUCUUCCUCUUCCAAGUAGUGACAGCUUCUGUGUCUGAAACACUGUCUUAUCAGUGAUAUCUUGGAUAUAAAUAUCCCUUCUCUGUUCUCCCUGUCUCUGGAUUGGGAGCAGGUUUCCUGCCCACUUUGUAUUCUGUGUUAAGGCCUUUUAUUUUGAGAAUAGUUUAUAUUUGUGCUACAAAGAGAAUUAGCGAACAAAUGGCUUUAGUCAUUCAUUCACUCAUAAACCUAUUCAUAAUGUUUCAUUUACUCAUUAAAUUUUUAAAAUAAAUUUAGUACCUGGUCCAUAUUUGGAAUUCAGUUAACUUUUGUGGAAUAAGUGAAUGAAUGGGUGGGGUCCUAGUUGACCAACCUUUGUCUUAGUAGAUUAAGAUUCAUCUACUUAACAGGCAGGAACAAGACAAGAGUUUCAUGAAGAGCCUCAUGAAGCUAUAUAAGUCUGUGAUGGAGAACUGAUGCUAGCAGUGUCAGGAAUAUCACAAAGGGUACCAGUCCAAUGGGGCACAGGGUUACUAUAGUUCUGACAUGAUCCUGCACUUCUCAAGUGUGGAAUUAUGCUUCUAACAAAGCCAAGGACUACAGGAAGAUAUCUGAUGAACUUUAACGUUCCUUUGGGCCUUUUUUAUGAUCAUUUUGAAGAUGCUUCAUUACUGCUACAUAACAUUAAGUAUCAUUAUUGAUUGGUCUGUGCUAUUACCUUACUUGCUAUUAAAUAUUGUAAAUAUCACCCCUGCCACCAUGAGAUCAGCUUUCAGUUCAGAUACCAUUUGGAAAUGGCUCUUCCCAUGAAGAGUUUAUAAUGAUCCUCCGUUCCUCCCAACAUGAUGGAGAGAAAGGCACAAGUGCCCAGUUCAGUGAGAAGUGUUGCUCAGUUGAAAAACAGGCAGGUGUCAUUUCCAGGGCAAUAAAUAUAUAGGUAGCAGUGGUUUUACAAGAUGAAAAUUCCUAUAGACAUCUAUUGCUAAAUGUUGUUCUUGUAUAUGUUUUGGGGAACUGUAUAAGCUGAGAUUGAGAAGUGAGGAUCCAGACACAGAGAAGGGAUCAAUUCCCAAAGAGAAAAGAACAGCAUGGAAAACAGAAACCAGAUGAAGAGGAAUUCAGGAACUAUGCUGAGGCAUGGAAUGUUCUUCUGGGCUACUAUUUCCUUCAAUCAAGUUAAUUUUCAUGCAUUCUUACAACCACGUGGACUCUGAUAUCUACCAGAACACCUGAGAAGACCCUGUCUCCUGGUUUUCUUGCUUUCACCAGCCUUACAAGUAUUUACAGCAUAAAAUAUCUAUGGUCAGUGAAGAGGUGGAAGAGGAAUCUCCAGGCAUCCCAAGCAACAUGAAUAGAGGGAGUUGAUUUGCAGACGCCUACAUUCUCUGCCCUUCUGAAGAGAAAUGAGUGUGCUUACCUCACAAGGUCCAUAUAGCUGCCAAGCAGAGCCAAGGAAACAAUCAACCGAGGCAUGGAUUUCAGUGGUGUCAAACCACUUCUGUCUUAUUCUCUCUCACUAUCCCUGUUGAUUUAGGGACUGAGCCCCAUAGGGCCAGUUAUUUUAAAAGACAUUGAACACAUGAGAAACUUGUACAUAAUCCUGGAGAAACUUGUACCGAAUCCUAAAGUGUAUGGAAGCAGGAUGCUUUGAAACUCUGUGUCCAAUUAAGUGGCCUUUCAUCUCUUCUGAGCUUCAGUUUCCUAAUCAG
Molecule: long non-coding RNA, 2960 nt
Organism: Equus caballus (horse)
Lineage: Eukaryota; Metazoa; Chordata; Mammalia; Perissodactyla; Equidae
Source: RefSeq, a predicted model, not a curated record